RNAcentral lists this small RNA (613 nucleotides) under Pongo abelii (Sumatran orangutan). RNAcentral's name for it is "retained intron". The record is from RNAcentral. Lineage: Eukaryota; Metazoa; Chordata; Mammalia; Primates; Hominidae.
AAAAAAAAAAACAAGCAAGGCAGGGAUGCCAGCAGGGCAUGUGCUGAGGAGACAGGCGCGAGCACCAGAGGUGCAGGGUGGCCUCUUAGCCGGAGUCCAGGAGGCCUCUGAGGGGAGAGGGCUUCUGGUAGACACCAGGGGUGGGGAUGAGCAGUGACAGGGGCCCUGGGGCCUGGGAUAUGACAGGGCAGCGCGGCAGUGUCUGGUGGCCCCUCCCGCAGGCCAUCACCAUCGAGGCUGAGCCAAGAGCCGAUGGCAGCCGCCGGACCACCCGCUAUGACAUCGACAUGACCAAGUGCAUCUACUGCGGCUUCUGCCAGGAGGCCUGUCCUGUGGAUGCCAUCGUCGAGGCAUGUGAGGCCCCCGGGUGGGAGGGGGGCUGAGGCUCCUCAGCAGGGCCUAACCGUCAUCCCUGCAUCUCAACCUGCAGGGCCCCAACUUUGAGUUCUCCACGGAGACCCAUGAGGAGCUGCUGUACAACAAGGAGAAGCUGCUCAACAACGGGGACAAGUGGGAGGCUGAGAUCGCCGCCAACAUCCAGGCUGACUACUUGUAUCGGUGACGCCCCACCAGCCCGCAGCCCCUGCUGCCCAAUAAAACCGCUCCAAUCCCA